CAGCCGCCGCGGGAAUACAGAGGGUGCGAGCGUUAAUCGGAUUUACUUGGCGUAAAGCGUGCGUAGGCGGCUUUUUAAGUCGGAUGUGAAAUCCCUGAGCUUAACUUAGGAAUUGCAUUCGAUACUGGGAAGCUAGAGUAUGGGAGAGGAUGGUAGAAUUCCAGGUGUAGCGGUGAAAUGCGUAGAGAUCUGGAGGAAUACCGAUGGCGAAGGCAGCCAUCUGGCCUAAUACUGACGCUGAGGUACGAAAGCAUGGGGAGCAAACAGGAUUAGAUACCCCCGUAGUCCCUGUCUCUUAUAC
Molecule: ribosomal RNA, 301 nt
Filed under: uncultured bacterium
Lineage: Bacteria
Description: partial 16S ribosomal RNA
Rfam family: Bacterial small subunit ribosomal RNA
Source: RNAcentral